Molecule: ribosomal RNA, 542 nt
Filed under: uncultured eukaryote
Lineage: Eukaryota
Description: SSU rRNA
Rfam family: Eukaryotic small subunit ribosomal RNA
Source: RNAcentral
UAGUCAUAUGCUUGUCUUAAAGACUAAGCCAUGCAUGUCUAAGUAUAAGCACUUGUACUGUAAAACUGCGAAUGGCUCAUUAAAUCAGUUAUAAUUUAUUUGAUGGUAAAUACCACUUGGAUAACCGUGGUAAAACUAGAGCUAAUACAUGCGUAAAAACCUGACUAGAAAUGGAAAGGUUGUAUUUAUUAGAUACAAAACCAAUAAGGUAGAGGUCAAACUCUAUCUUCCAAUUGGUGAUUCAUAGUAAUUAAACUAAUCGUAUAAUCUUGUAUUGACGAUAGUUCAUUCAAAUAUCUGCCCUAUCAACUUUCGAUGGUAGUAUAGAGGACUACCAUGGUGGUAACGGGUAACGGAGAAUCAGGGUUUGAUUCCGGAGAAGGAGCCUGAGAAACGGCUACUACUUCCAAGGAAGGUAGCAGGCGCGCAAAUUACCCAAUCCCAAAACGGGGAGGUAGUGACAAUAAAUAACAAUAUUGGAUUUUAUAAAAAAUCUAAUAAUUGGAAUGAGUACAAUCUAAACCCCUUAACGAGUAUCAAUU